GGAUGUGAGGGCGAUCUGGCUGCGACAUCUGUCACCCCACUGAUCGCCAGGGUUGAUUCGGCUGAUCUGGCUGGCUAGGCGGGUGUCCCCUUCCUCCCUCACCGCUCCAUGUGCGUCCCUCCCGAAGCUGCGCGCUCGGUCGAAGAGGACGACCAUCCCCGAUAGAGGAGGACCGUUCUUCGGUCAAGGGUAUACGAGUAGCUGCGCUCCCCUGCUAGAACCUCCAAACAAGCUCUCAAAUCUGUUUUCUUUCACUGCCUUAUCGCACUAUUGCCUCCCAGAAAAUAUACUGAAUAAAAUCCAUCUCUUAGGAAUAUUAAAAUU
RNAcentral lists this small nuclear RNA (324 nucleotides) under Castor canadensis (American beaver). Its description in RNAcentral is "7SK RNA (ENSCCNG00000004806.1)". It matches the Rfam family "7SK RNA". From Rfam's summary of the family: 7SK was discovered as an abundant small nuclear RNA in the mid-70s but a possible function has only recently been suggested. Two independent studies have found that 7SK RNA binds the CDK9/cyclin T complex (known as elongation factor P-TEFb). The record is from RNAcentral. Lineage: Eukaryota; Metazoa; Chordata; Mammalia; Rodentia; Castoridae.